Physella acuta is the source of this 1038-nucleotide long non-coding RNA. RefSeq lists it as uncharacterized. The record is from RefSeq and is a predicted model, not a curated record. Lineage: Eukaryota; Metazoa; Mollusca; Gastropoda; Physidae.
AAAAGGGAAGAUCUGAUUUUUACCAGUAAUAAGACUACAGCAUACUAAAUGACACAAGAUGUUCUUUCUCUAUUACCUCUUACAUUUGACAUAAAAGUAGGAAAAGGUUUAACAGUCUAUGCCUACAACAUAGAUCUCCAGGACUUAAAGUGCACAAAAUGGCAAUCAGUAUAUCACAAGUGUUAUAACACAUGCAUCUAAUCUGCUUCACUGGCGAGAACUGGUUGAAUCCUCUCAAACAUUAAUCAGGAACUAGGCAUACCUAAUGAGCGUCAAGCUGAUACAGUAGAUGUACAUAAGAAUUUUUACACAAGGAAGUGAAAAUUGAUGUAAAAGGCAACUAAUACUUCCAUCUACCAUAGUUAAACAAGAAUCUGCAAAUGGUGAUAAUUGCAAUAAUCUUGAUAUAUUAAUGUUUGGCUUUAUAAUUAUAUGCAAUUGUCAGGUUUCAUAAAUAAAUUAUUUCUCAAAAUUUGAUGUAUUUGGUUUUCUUACUUUGUACAUAAGAUGCAAGUGAUUGAAAGCUGAAAAGGGUUGUAUGUAGUUAUAGUAUUCCCAGCACAAGUUGACAUUAAAACAGCUGAAGCCCUUUAAAAAAAAAAAAAAAAAAAAAAAAAAAUAAUCUAGGAAUGCUAUUUCUAUUAGCUGAGCAUAUAUUUGGAAAAGAACUUAAUUGUUUACCAGAGAAUACUGUGACCCAGUUUGUACUCCAGGCAAAAAGUGUCUAUGGUUAAUAUUAUUAAGUUAAAGAAAAGUAUCAAACAAACAGGAUAAUAUUAAUAAGCAAGACCUCCACACUAGAGAAGUAUGGAAUGAGUGUUGCAUGGAAUUCAAAUCAACUUUGAUGUUGCUAAUUGCUACACUGGCCAUAAUUGGCCUACAUUGAUUUUUGCUGAGGUAGGCAACUGUUUUUGUUUAACUUUAGAUGUCGACUAAAUAAAGAAGAAAACUGACACGCCAAUACCAAAAUCAAGAACUUGUAAAGUUCGUGGUUGCUAAACCGAGAAGUCCUGAGUUCAAUCUCCCGUGUAGAUGAGG